AAAACGCAAAAGAAAUGUAGCAAAGAUGGCCACAUAAAUGUGAAGUAUAUAACGGUAUUUAUGCAACUUCAGCGUUUACUUAAUGUAUUUAUGUAACCCGCGAGUAAGUAACAUUUCAGGGACGCUUUUCCAUGAAAAUAUAUGUAAAGGCUUUUAUAACAUGUUAACUCUAACUCUUACUUGCAAACUACAACAUAUAGUAAGAAAUGCGCUUUCAAUUAAAACGCUUCGCUUUACGGAUACUAUAGUAUAGGGUCAUCGAGGGCUGGUCGAGAAUUCACAUGCUCAGCACAACUACAGAACGAGCAGGGGAUGAAUGUAAAUGUUUUGUCUGGGAAGGUGCACAGAUUCGGCAGAUAUCAGCGAAUGAGUAUUUAUUAAUUUACUACGAGACUCUUUGGCUCAGUGGAGGACAGAGGGCCGGGUGGCAGUAUGGCUUCAUGUGCCUAUCUCUUUUAGCCGUUGUGCCGCAGCUGCCUCUGCUCAUGGCUUCACCUACCAUCACGCCAAACAGGACCAAGCCAUUCUGUCUCUGUGGCUGGGGGAUGGGCAGAGCAGGCUGCCCUGGUUUGCUACUCAUCACAUUGGAGUGGCAGGUAGUAUAGUCCUUGUGUAACCUGACCUAUAUCAUCAUAGGUUUAUACUGCUCGGGAUCAGGUCUGCUUCAGGUAUCGUAAAGCCUUUACACACACGCUUGUGCAGAAAUAUUCAUGGGGCAAAUAUCAGUUAUUUCAAAUGUAGUUUGUGUUUGACAUGCAAACAAAUAGACUUGGGCUGUGUGGGAGUGGAAAACAAUGCUCAGGGCAGGGAACAGCACGUUGGAUGGCAGUUUUUUAUUUUUUUUAUAAACACCAACACAAUUAUCCACCAGGUGGCGUGCUGUUUCCUUUAUACCUCCCCCAAAGUGGAUGCAAGCAUGUCAGAACAUGUCUAUGGAAAGAGGAUAGCCAAAACCUGGUCCACAUGGUCUGAUGGCAUGUUGCCAACAGUAACUUGCGGGACCCCACCAUCGUGACUUUACUGCUCUGUCUCUUGCUCCUGUCUCCUGUUCCACAUCUCACCACCCAACUACCUUGUUCUCGAUUUUACUCACCAUCACUACAUUGGAUUCCCCUCAGGAUCUGUUUACCAAGUUCUACUCAGCCAACUCCAACCUCUGUCUCCACAUCUGGUUUUUCUGCAACUCAUCCUAGCUUCCCCGGAUCUGCACUCCAUAUCUCUCUGUGUAACAAUAAAUAUUUUGGUUCAUUCA
Long non-coding RNA from Oncorhynchus nerka (sockeye salmon), 1252 nucleotides. RefSeq lists it as uncharacterized. NCBI's taxonomy places the organism in Eukaryota, Metazoa, Chordata, Actinopteri, Salmoniformes, Salmonidae. The transcript has 3 exons. The record is from RefSeq and is a predicted model, not a curated record.